Molecule: non-coding RNA, 554 nt
Organism: Dama dama (fallow deer)
Lineage: Eukaryota; Metazoa; Chordata; Mammalia; Artiodactyla; Cervidae
Source: the annotation of a RefSeq genome assembly
CCUGACUUAAGCUCAGACACAGAUCCUGAGCACUGAGGCCUGGGACUUCAACUAUGAGACUGGUGACAGGAAUAACUCUUCUCCUAGCUUUGGGUAUAUUGGGAGAUUCUAAGACCACACAGCCAAACUCAGUGGAGGGCGCUGAAGAAGGACCUGUGCACUUGCCCUGUAAUCACUCCACAAUCAGUGGACCUGAGCAUGUAUAUUGGUAUCGACAGAUUCCCCACCAGGGUCCAGAGUACUUGAUUCAUGGUCUGAACAACAAUGUGACAAAUAGGAUGGCCUCUCUGAGCAUCGCCAAAGACAGAAAGUCCAGCAUCUUGGUUCUGCCCCAGGUCACCGUGAGAGACACCGCUGUGUACUACUGCGUCCUGAGAGACACACACUGGGACAGGCGGGGCUGCAUCUGUGCGGCCGAGUAUCCAAGAACUGGAGCACAGAUCAUGAUCCCUGAUCAUCCAAGAGGAGAAAGAUGUCCAUAAACUGCCAUUCAUCAGCUACCUCACAUGCCUUAUCCUGGAACAGACAAAAGCAUGGUGAAGGUGUGAGUGCCC